This 505-nucleotide ribosomal RNA is filed under the name uncultured bacterium. Its description in RNAcentral is "partial 16S ribosomal RNA". It matches the Rfam family "Bacterial small subunit ribosomal RNA", at positions 28 to 507 of the family's 1533-position model. The record is from RNAcentral.
GACGAACGCUGGCGGCGUGCCUAAUACAUGCAAGUAGAACGCACAGUUUAUACCGUAGCUUGCUACACCAUAAACUGUGAGUUGCGAACGGGUGAGUAACGCGUAGGUAACCUGCCUGGUAGCGGGGGAUAACUAUUGGAAACGAUAGCUAAUACCGCAUAAUAUUGAUUAUUGCAUGAUAAUUGAUUGAAAGAUGCUAUUGCAUCACUACCAGAUGGACCUGCGUUGUAUUAGCUAGUAGGUGAGGUAACGGCUCACCUAGGCGACGAUACAUAGCCGACCUGAGAGGGUGAUCGGCCACACUGGGACUGAGACACGGCCCAGACUCCUACGGGAGGCAGCAGUAGGGAAUCUUCGGCAAUGGACGAAAGUCUGACCGAGCAACGCCGCGUGAGUGAAGAAGGUUGUCGGAUCGUAAAGCUCUGUUGUAAGAGAAGAACGGGUGUGAGAGUGGAAAGUUCACACUGUGGCGGUAUCUUACCAGAAAGGGACGGCUAACUACGUG